This 201-nucleotide long non-coding RNA is filed under the name Daucus carota (carrot). Its description in RNAcentral is "long non-coding RNA (DCAR_LNC000439)". Lineage: Eukaryota; Viridiplantae; Streptophyta; Magnoliopsida; Apiales; Apiaceae. The record is from RNAcentral.
UCAUAAUCCAACAAAUUUCCCAACGAUCUUGGUAACAACCUCACGUUUAAAUUUGAAUUGAAUGAUGAACGUUUGAAUGAUAUAUGUUUACUGAGUAAAAGAUAAAACACGUUUGAAAUCAUCUCAGUAAGACAUUUAAACUAAAACCCGUUUGAAACAAAAUAGGAGUUUGUUAAAGAUAAAAUCGAUUUGAAAUAAAAU